Molecule: ribosomal RNA, 189 nt
Filed under: uncultured Bacteroidota bacterium
Lineage: Bacteria; Pseudomonadati; Bacteroidota
Description: uncultured Bacteroidetes bacterium partial 16S ribosomal RNA
Rfam family: Bacterial small subunit ribosomal RNA
Source: RNAcentral
CCUACGGGAGGCAGCAGUAAGGAAUAUUGGUCAAUGGAGGCAACUCUGAACCAGCCAUGCCGCGUGGAGGAUGAAGGCCCUCUGGGUUGUAAACUUCUUUUAUAAGGGAAGAAAUGCAGACAUUCUUGUUUGUUUGACGGUACCUUAGGAAUAAGCACCGGCUAACUCCGUGCCAGCAGCCGCGGUAAU